Molecule: ribosomal RNA, 394 nt
Filed under: uncultured bacterium
Lineage: Bacteria
Description: bacterial SSU rRNA
Rfam family: Bacterial small subunit ribosomal RNA
Source: RNAcentral
AUUGAACGCUGGCGGAAUGCUUUACAUAUGCAAGUCGAGCGGCAGCGCGGGGCAACCUGGCGGCGAGCGGCGAACGGGUGAGUAAUACAUCGGAACGUACCCAGUUGUGGGGGAUAGCCCGGCGAAAGCCGGAUUAAUACCGCAUACGACCUGAGGGUGAAAGGGGGGGAUCGCAAGACCUCUCGCAGUUGGAGCGGCCGAUGGCGGAUUAGCUAGUUGGUGAGGUAAAGGCUCACCAAGGCGACGAUCCGUAGCUGGUCUGAGAGGACGACCAGCCACACUGGAACUGAGACACGGUCCAGACUCCUACGGGAGGCAGCAGUGGGGAAUUUUGGACAAUGGGGGGCAACCCUGAUCCAGCCAUUCCGCGUGAGUGAAGAAGGCCUUCGGGUUG